CGUUCCACAUCCCGCCCAUUUUUCUACCCAACGUCCCCAGCCCGUCACCACCGCCACCACGGGAGCGAGGGAGGAUAAAGUCUGGGAACUCGUGUCGAAAGGUGUGCUCAUUGUUGAAGGCGUUUGUUUGAUAUGAAAGAUACACAGAAAGAUGGCACAGCUUUGACACCAACUUUUCUCCACACCCUGCACUGUCACACCAUUUUUUGUCAUCUUUGUUAAUAUGAUAGAACGAUGGUUUUGCAUUGUUGUUUUAAGUUUUAUUCCACUAAUUGCUAGUAAUGUUGAACCUGUUUUUAUGCAUCACUUUUGCAGAUUGCCUACAGCAUAUCUUUUGCCCACUUGGAUUCAUCUUUGUCUUAUUCAUUUGCAAGAACUCUUUAUAGAAUAUCAGCCCUUUGUUACCUAUGUUACAGCAAUUUUCCCAGUUUGUCAUUUGCUUUUUAAGUCUGUUUAUGUGCUCUUUUGACAUUGCAGUAGUCACCGCUAGCUGGGCCAAAAGUCUGGUCUUGCUGUACAUACUGCCUUCAGAAUAAACACUUAGGAGUAAGCUAGAGAUUUUUGUUAUCAGUUACUCCACCUAGAGGACCAGCAGGUGGAGUCUCCAUGGGCAGAGUCUCGCGGACUGUCAUUUGGUGUGGGGUGGCCAAGAGGGACUGAACAUCUGGAGAACAUGGUUGUCGGGCUCUUUAUACCAGUGGACCCCUCUUUCCUAUGGAAGCCUCGCAUCUCCAUCAGAAGCAGCAGUAAAAUGGCCUCUGCUGUCUUCUGCCUUUCAAGUCUAACUCAAGGGCACCUGAGUAGGUGAACCUAAUUGCAAGGGAGUUAGAUAUGUAACCUAUUCAACUAGAAAGAAGGUAGCCAGAGGGGCUACCUACAGUCCCCACCAAACUUAUGUAUCAGGGCUUCCCAUCCUGGCUGUUGAAUUACCUAUUCUGGCAGCUGUUCCAGUCAAUACAGCUGAUAGUAAAUUUUAAUAACUGGCAGUAAAAGUCUUCCCCAGUAACCCUGAUUUUCAAUGUUUUGUUGGCCAUUUUCACACAUUUUUUCAGGUGUAUAUUUUUUCACACUAUUUGUUCAGAUGAUCAUUGUAAUUCAUUUCAGAAACUAGAUAUCUCUUGUAAUUUCCUGGGCUUCUCCUUACCCUGGCGAGUAUUCUUUGUACCGAUUUUAGUCUGAAGUCUGGUAGGUACAAAAGUUAGUUUGUGUAUUUGCUAUUUGUUAGGUGCCCUUCAUCCUGGUAUUUAAAAUUCUGGCCCAUAAAGAAACAACCACACUCACUUGUUCCCUCAAUCUUAUUGUGCCUCUUGGCAGCUUCUGACAUUGUCAACCGCUCCCUUCUUCUGACACACUUCUCUUGACUCCCACGCCAGCACGCUCUCUGGGGUUCCCCCUCCUCUGGCUGCUCCUCCUCAGCAUCCUAGCAGGCUUCUCCCUUUUCUCUCUUUACCCACCACUUGCUGUACAAAUGCGGAGUUCCCUAGGGCUCUUUCCUGGGCCCUUGUGUCUUCUCAUUUUACACUUUCUUUCGAGAUGAUCCCACAGAAGUCACAUGGCUUCCAGUAUCCACUCCAUGUCAAAGAUACUUAGUCUGUUUCUAUUGCUUAUGACAGAAUAUCUGAAACUGGGGUCGGGUGCAGUGGCUCACGCUUGUAAUCUCAGCACUUUGGGAGGCUGAGGCGGGUGGGUCAUGAGGUCAGGAGUUGAAGACCAACCUGACCAAGAUGGUGAAACCCCAUCCCUACUAAAAAUAUAAAAAUUAGCCAGGCGUGGUGGCAGGUGCCUGUAAUCCCAGCUACCCCAGAGGCUGAGGCAGG
This 1817-nucleotide long non-coding RNA is filed under the name Homo sapiens (human). Its description in RNAcentral is "HSALNT0099002". The record is from RNAcentral. Lineage: Eukaryota; Metazoa; Chordata; Mammalia; Primates; Hominidae.